UGGCCUACGGGGCGCAGCAGUCGGGAAUAUUGCGCAAUGGAGGGAACUCUGACGCAGUGACGCCGCGUAUAGGAAGAAGGUUUUCGGAUUGUAAACUAUUGUCGUUAGGGAAGAAAAAAGACAGUACCUAAGGAGGAAGCCCCGGCUAACUAUGUGCCAGCAGCCGCGGUAAUACAUAGGGGGCAAGCGUUAUCCGGAAUUAUUGGGUGUAAAGGGUGCGUAGACGGGUGUUUAAGUUGGUUGUGAAAUCCCUCGGCUCAACUGAGGAACUGCAACCAAAACUGGAUAUCUUGAGUGUCGGAGAG
This 305-nucleotide ribosomal RNA is filed under the name uncultured bacterium. Its description in RNAcentral is "bacterial SSU rRNA". It matches the Rfam family "Bacterial small subunit ribosomal RNA", at positions 335 to 656 of the family's 1533-position model. The record is from RNAcentral.